UCCUACAGACGCAUCUACGGUUAACAUAGC
RNAcentral lists this non-coding RNA (30 nucleotides) under Homo sapiens (human). The record is from RNAcentral. Lineage: Eukaryota; Metazoa; Chordata; Mammalia; Primates; Hominidae.